Callithrix jacchus (white-tufted-ear marmoset) is the source of this 2776-nucleotide non-coding RNA. Lineage: Eukaryota; Metazoa; Chordata; Mammalia; Primates; Cebidae. The record is from RefSeq and is a predicted model, not a curated record.
GGGUCUCUGGAGGUUACCCUCCAGGGAUCCGCGAGCCGCUUCAGGUUGCAUUCUGCGACGCAAAGGCGCCUUUGUUCGACUCCAACCUUGUUUUCCUUCAUACCUUAUCCUCCUAUUUUGAGUACCUCAGCACCUCAUGGGCUGCGCUUCAGCAUUUCCCCAUCAGUCAGUGCCUCUGACUUCUAGCCGCCAGUCCCUCCCAGCGGAUACUUUAAGCAAGCAACCAAACCAAACAGACGCCCAGUACGCUUCCUUGUAGGACGCUCCGUUUUCCGCUCUUUGGUCGCAUGACUUGACCUGAGCGUAUCCCCUAGACUUGAUCUUCACACACAGCUUCAUAGGUUCAGACACGUUUUUUCUAGAGAAAUCAUACUUUCUAUCUGCGAUUGUGGAACUGCUAUUGCUCUAAGCCCUUGAAAAUAAUUUCCUCAUAUGAAAGCUUGGGUCAAAAUUUAGAAGUGAAACCCAGCCUUCCCUCCAUCUUCUACUCUUGGCCUACCCUGGGCCUACACUUUAUCAUCCUUGAACCGAAACAGUCGCCUGGCCUUAUAAUGUUUGAUCGGGGAAGUUGAAUUGGGGAAUUAACCUACAACCUGACAGGAUGCGGUCCGCCAGUCUCCAACAGAGUUUAAAACAUCCUGAAGAUGAAGGACCAGCACCUGUUUUGGAGACAUGGAGUUACAACUGAGUUGAAGAGAUAAUCAUAACAGUAGCUUCUAAAUAUAAACCUGAUGCAUAUACAGCCAUUAUACCAAAGAGUAAAGUUUUAGCAUAUGUGCUGCUGAAGCGAGCACAAAGCGAAGGCUUUAAAGACCAAGAAGGCAGUGUUGAAAGGUGUCCACAGCCACAAAAAAAGAGAAGAUCUGCAUGUCACCCUCCUUCCAGAGGCCCAAGACACUGUGACUCCAGAGGCAGCCCAAAUAUCCUUGGAAAAGCGCCUCCAGGAGAAACAAAUCUGACCACUAUGCUGUCAUCAAGUUUCCGCUGACCACUGAGUCCACCCUGAAGAAGACAGAAGACAACAACACACUUGUGUUCAUUGUGGAUGUUAAGGCCAACAAGCACCAGAUCAAACAGGCUGCAAAGAAGCUCUGUGACAUUGAUGUGGCCAAGGUCAACACCCUGAUUCAGCCUGAUGGAGAGAAGAAGGCGUGUGUUCGACUGGCUCCUGAUUACAAUGCUUUGGAUGUUGCCAACAAAAUUGGGAUCAUCUAAACUGAGUCCAGCUGGCUAAUUCUAAAUAUAUGUAUAUCUUUUCACCACACACACACAAAAAGUAAAAUAAAUAAAUAAAUGGCUGAGGGAUAGACAAGUCUCCAGUGUAAAAAAACUUCCAAAUAGCUUAUGUAAUUAUUCUACUCUAAGGAUGGGGAGUGUAACUCCCUGCUUCUUAUUGUUGGCUGAGCGUUGUGACUUCCUUCUAGAGUAUAAUACAGAAGGAGAAAAAAAGAGAAACAUUACAGUGAAGAAACCUGACAAGCACUACGUCAGCCAGGUCAAGAUUGACAUCAGUAGUCAUAAGUCCUUUGACAAAAUUGCCCUUUACCUCUGUAGUCUUCUUCCUUAAAACGCACACCCCCAAUCUUGAGAAAAGCAUCAGGCACAUUUUAGCAGUGGGGCAUCGUACAAGUACCUGACCAGUAUUAUCCAAAAUUGUCAAGUUCUUCAAAAAUAAAUAAAGCAUGAGAAAUUGUCACAACUAAGAGGAUCCUAAGAAAACAUGACAACUAAAUGUAACUCAGUAUCCUGAUGGAAUCCUGGGACACAAACAUGACACAAUAAGGUAAAAGUCCAGGAACCAUGACAAAAAUAUGAACUUCAGUUAGUGACGAUAUAUCAAUAUUUGUUCAUUAAUUGAAACAAAUAUAACAUAAGUUGUUAAUAAUAGAGAAAAUGGGUAUAGUAUGUAGGGGAAAUCUCUAUACUGUACUUUCAAAAUUUCUGAAUAAUUAAAACUGUUAAAAUAUAAAGUCUAUUUAAAAAGUCAAGUGUUUUCUUGUUUUAUGAUUAUGUUUCUGCAUUCCCCAAUAAAUAUUUGAGUUUGCUUUACCUCACUGAUAUUGAUGUUGAAGAAACAAACUAACUCUAAAAUGGUUGGUAAUUCCAAUUUAAUAAGUAGUAAUUCUUGGUAAUAUGUUUUUGGAAGAACUCACUGAAUAAAUCAAAGCAAACUGUCUUUAAAUGCUAAAUUUUUUUCAGUGUUUAAUUCUCUUUAAGAUUAAUGUUUGCCAUGGGCAUUAUUCCACUUCAGAGGGCAGCAAUUAUCAUAAACAUUGGUUGUAGGCAAUGUCUAACAUACAGUGAAAUAUUAAUGCAAGAUGCUGUAAUAACUUUAGCUAAAGUAUUUUAUGUUUUCAAAAUGUAUUGUUAUUUCAGUCUAUGCAGCCUUUUCAAAAUACAUUUUCUAACCACCUUAUCCAAACCAGAAAACUCACAAGGAAAUAAUACUAUAGGAUAGCAUGCUCAUCAGUUUGAAAUGGAGGCUCACUUUGCUGGCAUGCCUGGUUGCUAAUGAUACUGGCAUACGUAUUACUUUUAUAAAUCCCUUCCUUGGCAAAAUCUGGUCUCCACGGGGGAUAUCUUUGACACAGCAGGUACCUAGAAGCUAUAUAACAUAUGGCUUUGUAGCUAUAUUUAUGAAACAUUUUACACAGAAGUACAAUAUAAUGUAGAAAAUUGUUCUCUUUGCCUUCUGCUACUCAGAAAUCACUCACCAUCUUACUUUUUAUUAGCCAACUAAGACAUGUUUCAUAAAUUAGACUAUUUUUUUUAGCUC